CUUAUUUUUUAUCUAAUAUAAUUUCUGCUCAAUGAAGAAAUUUUAAUAGCCACUAUAGUGCUAAGGUAGCAUAAUAAUUUGUUUUUUAAUUGAAAAAUUGAAUGAAUGAAUACACUAGAAAUUAAUUGUUUAAUUUUAUUAAAUGUAAUUUUAAUUUGAAUGAAAAAUUUCAAAUUUUUCUUUAAGGCGAUAAGACCCUAUGAACCUUUAUUUUUAAAAAAAAAUAAAAAAUUUAUUUGGGGAAAAUUAAAAUAAAAUUAUUUUAAUAAAAAUUGAUCUUUACAAAACUAAAUGAAAAAGGUACUCUAGGGAUAACAGCGUUAUAGUUAUUAAAGCCCAUAUUUAAGUAACUGU
RNAcentral lists this ribosomal RNA (354 nucleotides) under Acartia tonsa. Its description in RNAcentral is "partial 16S ribosomal RNA". The record is from RNAcentral. Lineage: Eukaryota; Metazoa; Arthropoda; Copepoda; Calanoida; Acartiidae.